Molecule: ribosomal RNA, 425 nt
Filed under: uncultured bacterium
Lineage: Bacteria
Description: partial 16S ribosomal RNA
Rfam family: Bacterial small subunit ribosomal RNA
Source: RNAcentral
GUGGGGAAUCUUGCGCAAUGGGCGAAAGCCUGACGCAGCCAUGCCGCGUGAAUGAUGAAGGUCUUAGGAUUGUAAAAUUCUUUCACCGGGGACGAUAAUGACGGUACCCGGAGAAGAAGCUCCGGCUAACUUCGUGCCAGCAGCCGCGGUAAUACGAAGGGGGCUAGCGUUGCUCGGAAUUACUGGGCGUAAAGGGCGCGUAGGCGGACAGCUUAGUCAGAGGUGAAAGCCCAGGGCUCAACCUUGGAAUUGCCUUUGAUACUGGCUGUCUUGAGUUUGGGAGAGGUGAGUGGAACUCCGAGUGUAGAGGUGAAAUUCGUAGAUAUUCGGAAGAACACCAGUGGCGAAGGCGACUCACUGGCCCAAUACUGACGCUGAGGCGCGAAAGCGUGGGGAGCAGACAGGAUUAGAAACCCCUGUAGUCC